Molecule: non-coding RNA, 354 nt
Organism: Gekko japonicus
Lineage: Eukaryota; Metazoa; Chordata; Lepidosauria; Squamata; Gekkonidae
Source: the annotation of a RefSeq genome assembly
AUGGAAGAGAUGGAAGGAGGUGAAGGUGUCCUCUCUGAAAUUAAGCUGACAGAGUCUGGAAAAGGAACAGUCAGUCCUGGGGAGUCCCUAAGAUUGACCUGCACAGUCACUGGUACCUCCAUCACUGAUACAUAUGGUUACCACUGGAUCCGCCAGCCGCCCAACGAAGGGCUGGAAUGGAUCGGAAGGGGAUACUACAGCAGCAGCUCUACCUGGAUCACUCACUAUGCCUCCACCUUCCAGAGCAGGGUCUCCAUCUCUCCUGACACCUCCAAGAAUGAGUUUUCUCUCCAGCUGAACUCCCUGACAGCUGCAGACACAGCCGUUUAUUACUGUGCUCGAGAACCACAGUGA